This is a long non-coding RNA of Gadus morhua (Atlantic cod), 1967 nucleotides long. RefSeq lists it as uncharacterized. Lineage: Eukaryota; Metazoa; Chordata; Actinopteri; Gadiformes; Gadidae. The record is from RefSeq and is a predicted model, not a curated record. The transcript has 3 exons.
CUGGAGGGCUUAUUUUAUGGGUUUCAUACCGAAAAAGACCCUGGUUCAAUUUUUGCCGGAAAUACACUUUAAUGACAUGUCUAAAAGACACGAAAGACCACUGAGAUAAAAGCAUCAUCAAAAUGGUAAUAAAAAGCCUGGAUGUAGUUGUGAGAAUUAACUGGAAUUUCCGGCUGUAAAAUAAGCAAAGAUGUAUGUGUAUUUAUUUGAAAUAAGGGGGAGCUCGCGUACGAGAUGUAAACACAAUGUCCGCCAUGUUUCUUCACCGCUUAGCUAGAGAACAAAUUUGCAAUGUGAAACAGCCAAAGUGGAUUUUGAAAAUAUAUUGUUGGAUUCGGACAUUCAGGGCUAUUAGUACAGGUCAAAAUACAGCCAGGAAGAAUAGACACAAAUAGAGCGGGAGGCUGCUGCGGCUGCAGCUCAACAAGCCUUGUCUGUUGCCCAGGACGAGGAGCCGGAGCGCCCCGGUUUGCUCUGUUCAGUGUGCUGCAGCGAAUUUCAGCGAUGCCGGUUUCUUCUAGAAUACAUUUCUGAAACUGGCGAAGACGGGGCCAUGUGUGUAACCUCUCACCCAGGCUUUACGCCUCAUCUGAACAGUUGGGUUUUGGAUCCAUAUUUCCGGACCCAGUAAGUUGAACGCCUGAUGCGGACCCUGAACUGGAAAGGCCAGCCAAAGUCCGUCGGGAGAAAUAGACGUCAAAGCAUAGAUAUCGGCUUCCUGUGUUGUCCAGGCCAUCAGAGCUAAUUACCCAGCACAAGAUGGGCAGUACCUUGGCUACCAGGAGACAGUAGAUGCUCAAGCCAACCGGAACUUGGUUUUGUGUUGCCCACGACGACGGCCUUCAGGUUGCUGUACGACAUGCUAAUGGGGCCCCUGCAACAGUCUUUUUCUCUCUAUUUUUUGAGCAAACCAAAGCACCCGUCGACCACCACUUGAUGUGGUAAUGCCCGCCUACAUUUCUGACAGGUCAGCUCCUUUCCUCCCUCUCUGCCUCACUCUCUUUCUCUCUCCCUUCCCUCCUUCACUAUUUUUUCUCCCCCUAUCUCUCUCUAAACUGUCUCUCUGUAUCUCUCUGUCCCUCUGCUUCACUCUCUCGCACUCGCUCUCCCCCUCUCUUCGACCGCAAGCACAAGAGCAUAAUGGCGAUCUGAAUUUUUUUACAAAAAAUAAAGGAUUACAGCCACAAGUGGGUAGUUUUAUAAUGCCUCAAAGCUCUGUUUUUUUUUUGUGGGUCCCUGAUUAUAUUCAUACAGCAACGUUUCAUAAAGAGCUCCUUUAGCAAGCGGCUCUCUAAUGGCUCUAUUCAGUGGGGUUCAAUUUACAUGCAACUGCAAUAUCAUUUGGAGAUUAUAUAAUUAAAAGCUGUCUGGUAUGAGUUGGUCUAAAUGCUACUGAGGAUAUAUUUGUUUUCUGUUGUGAUUCUUUUUAAAAGCCUUUUUGAGUUCAUCCUCUCUCAACAGUUCGUUACCCAUGCACUCAAGAACAACAAUGUGUGUUCUGCUGAUUUACAGACAAAUGGUUCUGGGUUCAAUCCCCAUUUCCGCAUUGUACCUAUCCUUGAGCAAGAUUCCCCCUUACCCCUUCACUUUCACCUUCACCUAUCCCAUAACCCCGGAGGGUCGUUGGGGCACCACAGACGAUCUGUUGACCAGCUCUCUCCAUCCCUCUCUGUCCUCGGCAGCUCUCAUUGCCUCACUGAUUUUCAAGUGAGUCCAAUCUCUGAUGUUAUCUUCCCAUCUUAUCUUUUGUCUCCCUCGUCUCCUUCCACCUUGUACGGUUCCUUGGAAGAUGGUCUUUGCAAGGCCUGAGGAUCUGGUGAUGUGUCCGUACCACCUCAGUUUCCGUUUAUUAACAGUGGUAAAAAAAACCUACCUGCUCCUUAAUGACCUGUAUCUGUACUGUCUAGCCCCUACCUGCUCCUUAAUGACCUGUAUCUGUACUGUCUAGCCCCUACCUGCUCCUUAAU